GUGUCACUUCCAAAGGGCAGGUUUGAUGGAGAAAGCAGUGGGAAUUUGGGAACUGUUUGCAUAAUGGAUGGGAGAGCUUGGAGAACAAGAAAGCGUUCCACAGAUAGAGGCACUGAGAGCAACAGUGCGAGUGGGAAGAGCAGACAGAAGGCCUCACCUGAAAGGAAUGGCGACGAUGCAUCAAGGGACGGGCAAUUCCAUAUGAAGCUUACAUGCAUAAGAUGUUUUCAUAAUACCAAGACAAUAGGCAAUAUGGCUUGAAGAGAUGUGUUUGUUGUAGAGUUACAGCCUCAUUCAGGGUGCGUGAAGGGAAGCUUUUUUUGUCACCAAAAAGAUAUCCAAAUAUAAUCACUGGGAAAGCUGACUUAUCGUACAGAAUGAAAAUGAAGUUUCCAGACUUUAAAUUCAC
This is a long non-coding RNA of Orcinus orca (killer whale), 409 nucleotides long. RefSeq lists it as uncharacterized. The record is from RefSeq and is a predicted model, not a curated record. Lineage: Eukaryota; Metazoa; Chordata; Mammalia; Artiodactyla; Delphinidae. The transcript is spliced from 3 exons.